GCCUCUAUAACUCAGUGGUAGAGCACUGGUCUCGUAAACCAGGGGUCGCGAGUUCGAACUUCGCUGGAGGCU
Molecule: non-coding RNA, 72 nt
Organism: Liolophura sinensis
Lineage: Eukaryota; Metazoa; Mollusca; Polyplacophora; Chitonida; Chitonidae
Source: the annotation of a RefSeq genome assembly